GACGAACGCUGGCGGCGUGCUUAACACAUGCAAGUCGAACGGUAAGGCCCUUCGGGGUACACGAGUGGCGAACGGGUGAGGAACACGUGGGUGAUCUGCCCUGAACUUCGGGAUAAGCCCGGGAAACUGGGGCUUAUACCAGAUAGGACCACUGCCCGCAUGGGUGGUGGUGGAAAGCUAUUGCGGUGUGGGAUGGGACCGCGGCGUAUCAGCUUGUUGGUGGGGUGAGGGCCUACCAAGGCGACGACGGGUAGCCGGCCUGAGAGGGUGACCGGCCACACUGGGACUGAGAUACGGCCCAGACUCCUACGGGAGACAGCAGUGGGGAAUAUUGCACAAGGGGCGCAAGCCUGAUGCAGCGACGCCGCGUGAGGGAUGACGGCCUUCGGGUUGUAAACCUCUUUCAGCACCGACGAAGCGCAAGUGACGGUAGGUGCAGAAGAAGGACCGGCCAACUACGUGCCAGCCGCCGCCGUAA
RNAcentral lists this ribosomal RNA (478 nucleotides) under uncultured bacterium. RNAcentral's name for it is "partial 16S ribosomal RNA". It matches the Rfam family "Bacterial small subunit ribosomal RNA", at positions 28 to 523 of the family's 1533-position model. The record is from RNAcentral.